GAUGAACGCUGGCGGCGUGCCUAAUACAUGCAAGUCGAGCGAACAGAUGAGGAGCUUGCUCCUCUGACGUUAGCGGCGGACGGGUGAGUAACACGUGGAUAACCUACCUAUAAGACUGGGAUAACUUCGGGAAACCGGAGCUAAUACCGGAUAAUAUAUUGAACCGCAUGGUUCAAUAGUGAAAGACGGUUUUGCUGUCCCUUAUAGAUGGAUCCGCGCCGCAUUAGCUAGUUGGUAAGGUAACGGCUUACCAAGGCAACGAUGCGUAGCCGACCUGAGAGGGUGAUCGGCCACACUGGAACUGAGACACGGUCCAGACUCCUACGGGAGGCAGCAGUAGGGAAUCUUCCGCAAUGGGCGAAAGCCUGACGGAGCAACGCCGCGUGAGUGAUGAAGGUCUUCGGAUCGUAAAGCUCUGUUAUUAGGGAAGAACAAAUGUGUAAGUAACUAUGCACGUCUUGACGGUACCUAAUCAGAAAGCCACGGCUAACUACGUG
This 497-nucleotide ribosomal RNA is filed under the name uncultured bacterium. RNAcentral's name for it is "partial 16S ribosomal RNA". It matches the Rfam family "Bacterial small subunit ribosomal RNA", at positions 28 to 507 of the family's 1533-position model. The record is from RNAcentral.